GGGGAUUUAGUUCAGUGGUAGAGCGCUUGCCUAGGAAGCGCAAGGCCCUGGGUUCAAUCCCCAGCUCCG
Rattus norvegicus (Norway rat) is the source of this 69-nucleotide non-coding RNA. The record is from Rfam. NCBI's taxonomy places the organism in Eukaryota, Metazoa, Chordata, Mammalia, Rodentia, Muridae.